Molecule: long non-coding RNA, 2038 nt
Filed under: Macaca fascicularis (crab-eating macaque)
Lineage: Eukaryota; Metazoa; Chordata; Mammalia; Primates; Cercopithecidae
Description: lncRNA (ENSMFAG00000056339.1)
Source: RNAcentral
AAUGGGCCAGUGCCCACAGAAUUCCCUGUCUUGGCAAGUGGCCCCUCAGCAGGAAGCAGCAGCGUGACAGAACAGAGGAAGGGUCUGCUGAAGGCUCAGUGGCCUGGAGCCCACACCCUGUGCCUUUGGGCUUGCCCUGCAGCACACGGACCCUCCCCUAACGUUGCAGGGCUAAGGCAAGAAUAGGAGUAGAGGCAGACACACCGUAUGUCUAAAUAUUUUAAAGUUAUAAAUGAGGCUCACCUUCUGCCUUCCUGUCUUAACAAUCACAUCUUCAUAAGGAACUGUGAACCCAGAUUUGAACUGAGAGUUUUUGUCUUUGCAGUGCAAGGCAAGUCAGUUCCCUACAGCAGCCUGUGGGCCACUCCCUUCCCUCUCCAAUCAUUGGUUUUGUCCUUUCAUAAUAUGGUAUGAACCCCCAAGCCUCUGUCCACAUGUCCUGCAUGUGAACAUCCCAAGCUCUGUCCACAUGUCCUGCAAACAGCUGACCCGGGGCCACCCCUUGGGCCCAGGGGUGUGCACACUGCUGGCAGUGGCACACAUCUCAGGAAGAGCAUGGCACAGACUCUGGAAGUGGGCAGGGAGUUGUAGGGUCCUGGGCACUGGAGGUGCCUGGGCUGGGGCGGGGGUGGGCAGCACGUGGGCUCUAAGCAAGUACAACCCCUUGACAUAGACUCCUCAUCCUGUGAGGUCAGUGUCACAGGAGAAACAGCAGGUCCUCUGAAACACGGGCCUAAGUGAGGGCCCCUUUUGCCAGGGUCUAACCGGCAUCCACCAUAAACCAGUGGCUGGAACAUGUUGUCUUCUUUGGUUUAGCCCAGGUGCGUGGAUUGGGGAACAAAGAGCGAAGGUUGAAGUAUCUCCCUCACUAUUAUACCUCGUAGCCUGCUUGAAUAAUUUCUGCUUCCCAUCCCCAUGACCUGGAGUUUGGGGAUAUGAAGGUUCUAGUGCACAGAGAAGUGUUCUUGUUGGAAUGCAUGGUCAUGGUUUCUGAAUUAGGAGCUGAAACUGCCUUCUGAAAGUUUGGAAAGAGAGAUGCGAAGGGUGGUAGAGAGGUAAUAUCCAAGUUAGUCGGCCUCCUUGUUUUUCUUUGUGUCCCCCUUGCACCUGCACUGCCCUGAUUUUACUGCUGAGGACACCUGGACCAAACAGAGGAAGGGUGAAUUGGUCUGUCUCUCCUGGAGCCGGGAUACACGCUUCUUCUCCUGCCCUUGGAAAUCAGAACUCCAGGGUCUCCGGAGUGGCCACAGAUGUGAGGCAGACAACAUUUGCCCCAAGGUAAUGGUGGGGGAGAAGCAAAAGCACAACUCCAACGGCUACUCUCCUACUUUAAACACCCACAGGCGUCUGGCCGCCAGCCAAAGCUCCUGCCCUACGCUUGGCACAGACCCCUCCGCCUCUGGGGCUUUUCACAAACUUCCCAUUGCAUGGUGUCUUUCCUCUAUGGUUAGUUCAGCAUAUUGGUAAAAACCAGAAGCACAUCAUAGUCCAUUUCUAAAUAGCAACCUCAGUUGAGAUUUUUCUCUUUAAUUUGUUCAUUUUUUAGGAUCGUGCGUCUUAAUUUCCUGGCCUGUGUGCGUGCGGAUUCUAACUGCAGUGCAUUGUGGUUAUGAAUAUGAUCUGUAAUUUAUCCAUUUUUGGGGAAACUCUUUUGCUCAUAGUAAAUGGUGCAUUUACUAUGGUCCAUUUUGUAAAUAUUCAUGUGUGUGCUUAAAAAGAAUGUAUAUUCCCGGCUGGGCACGGUGGCUCUCGCCUGUAAUCCCAGCACUUUGGGAGGCCGAGGCUGGCGGAUCACCUGAGGUCAGGAGUUCAAGACCAGUUUGACUAACAUGGUGAAACCCCCUUCUCUACUAAAAAUAAUUACAAAAUUAGCCGGGCAUGGUGGUGUGCACUUGUAAUCCCAGCUACUUGGGAGGCUGAGGCAGGAGAAUCGCUUGAAUCUGGGAGGCGGAGUUUUCAGUGAGCUGAGAUCUCACCACUGCACCCCAGCCUGGACGACAGAACAAGACUGUCUAAAAAAAAAAAAAACAAAAAAAAA